UACGUAGGGUCCGAGCGUUGUCCGGAAUUACUGGGCGUAAAGAGCUCGUAGGUGGUUUGUCGCGUUGUUCGUGAAAACUCACAGCUUAACUGUGGGCGUGCGGGCGAUACGGGCAGACUUGAGUACUGCAGGGGAGACUGGAAUUCCUGGUGUAGCGGUGGAAUGCGCAGAUAUCGGGAGGAACACCGGUGGCGAAGGCGGUUCUCUGGGCCUUACCUGACCGCUGAGGAGCGAAAGCGUGGGGAGCGA
RNAcentral lists this ribosomal RNA (249 nucleotides) under uncultured bacterium. RNAcentral describes it as "partial 16S ribosomal RNA". It matches the Rfam family "Bacterial small subunit ribosomal RNA", at positions 524 to 771 of the family's 1533-position model. The record is from RNAcentral.